UAUUAUAUAAUAAUAAUAUUUUCUUCCUUUGCAGUCCCAUUGAACUGUCUUUCAAUCCAGAAGUCUUCUCACUUUCAGUUUUCCGAUUCUCUCCCACAUCCCUCUGUGGCUGGGGCAGAGUGAGAGAGAGCCUGUGCACUGUCUGGGAUUAAACCAUGACAGACAUUAUAUCUCAACUAGAGACAGUACAAAAGGAAGGAGGAAAGCCAACUCAUACACAGUAUAUGUGAGAAAGAUGCAGUUGCUGUCAGGUGACUCUUAGAACAAAAAUCUCCGAGUUUAAAAAAAAUAAAUAAAUAAGGUGUCAGGGAGGGAUAAAGGGGACAAGGAAGCAGCUGAUUAGUUUGUGUUGGUGAAACAACUUUGGCAAGGUUGGCAAGUAAUGCUGUACCUCUAAAAGCUGCCUACCAAUGACUCAACUUUCCACAAUUGCCCUUUUUCCAGUACUUGUGGUUCUGUGCUCUCUUGCCUCCAAAUCAAAGCAUGCAGUAAUGUAAAUCCCCACUGUGAGUGAGACAGUGUCUUGUCCUAUGAACAAUAAGUGGCAAUCUACAGAGUAAUACAUCUCCCAAAAGAGUUACUGUAUGCAUGCAAAUAUGUAGUUUUGUUGGUUCUGUUUUUCUGAGGACAUUCACCAAUAUCUCCCCAAAGAAGGAAAGAGAGAGGAAAAUCUUUGGUGUCAUCCAUCCAUUUGAGAUUUCUCUUUUUGAUGAGAUUAUGAAACCUUCUAAUGUAUAAGAAGUGGUGGUAUCUUUAUUCUUUCACUGACACCUCAUGAAGAGAUCCACUCCUUCUUCCUGUCUGAUCUCCAGGAUGCCAAAUCUGUUUGACUCCUCUUUGCCUCGAGGUCAGGGCAGCAUUUUCUGAGGGACAUGGAUUGUUGAGAUGGCUGGGUCAGGUCUCAACUGGACACAGUUCAAAGCUCCUCUGUUCCUCAGAACAUCUUCCUGAGGCAAUAUCUAUGCUGGCAAUUCGUUAUGGUCCCUUCUUGCUUCAUUAUGGAUCUCUCCCCCUCUGACUGUCUCCAUUCACAUGUGCUCCUUGGCUCUGGGGUGGGUAUCUGGGGCUCUGCUUGCUGGACAAACUCAUGGUGCUCAUGAAAGCUCGCAGUGUGAGAUCUCAUCCUUGGAUCACGUAAUGGAAACUCUUCAUCCACUCUGCAAAGGAUUUCUCCAAGUCACCACUGUUCUGAGGAGCCCUCAGAGUGUGGAAACCAUUUAACUGUGUUGUGAAAGCAGACAGUUCCUUCCCUGUGCCAGUCCCUCAUCCAUGCAGUGAUCCCUCAGAUGACAUCACUGUAUAAGAUAUUUUUAACACAGUGAAAUGUAUGCUUUUCCAAGCUGUAUUUCAAAUUAUCAGUUUAGAUUCAAUUAGAUCAUUGCUAUAAAUCCAAAGCUUGACUAUUUUGUUUUCUACUGCUCCUGUUUUGCUUUUCAGGGCAGUCCUGGUUUGGUACCUCUCUGUCUCACAUGUGAUUAAUAAAUAUGACAUUUGCUGUCAGGGCUGUAGUUAGGCCUUUAAGUUCUCCCAAAACCACUUGCAGAGUCUUGAGAGCUCCCAGCAACUGAGCUUGAGUCUGGAAGCAAUAGUGUUGCUCAUGUUUUCCCUAGAUCCAGGUUUCUGCAGACCUCUGGAAAAACCCCACAGAGUCAACCACAAAGCUACUUUGAAGUAAUUUCCUUCACAACAUUAAAUAUGAAAUCAAGACUGGAAAGGGAAAUCUAGAAGUUAUUCAAAAUCUUGGAACAUUCAUAAGAGCCUUGUAAGCAAUAAAAAUACAAACUUAAAACAUACAUGAGGUGUUUCAUUCCGAUUUCUAGCUGGUUAAGUGACUGCUCAGUUUUAUCUGCUGAAAGCCAACUGUCAGCCUACAGACAGAUUAUUGAAGGCAGCUCAAAUAACCCAGUUUCACUCAAAUAACCCAGAUGUCAUCUAUUUGCCAAAGUGGUAAAACGGAUCAGAAUAAUUUUGACAGCUCUCAGUGGUUGUAUUCAGUUUAUAUUUAGUUGUUUUCAGGUCAUAUCUUUAUGGGCAUGCAGUUUCACUUACCUAUUUGAUAUUAAAACAGGGGAAACCCCCACUUCAGUCAGCAUAUGCUUUCACUCACACACAGGAGGCAGAACUGAUGCCUUGCAGCUGACCAAGAUUGCAGAACUCAUUUCAAGUAACAAGGGCACAGAUGACUCUUGGAAACCCUUUUCAGAUAAGUACAUAGUUCCUUUUAUUCAUCUUGAAAACACUAUGCCAAAAAAGACAUUGGAUAAAAUUGCUUUUACACCAUGACUAAGUAUUCCCACUUCUAGCAAAGGGAGCUCUACACCCAGUCUCAGUCUUUUUUUAUUAAACCAGUCCUUAACUUUCUGGGAGGGAUUAACCCAUCCAAUUGCCCAUUCUUUGCCCUCCCAUUUACUUUGCUUACAGGUACCUCCAGGUGUUCUAUCAGACAUGUUAGAAUUUCUGCUGAGGAUUGCAAACUGCACUUCCAUAAAAUCCUGACACUGGGGAUGGGCCCAUCCCCUCCAUUUAGUCAAUUUAUGCCACUCUUGGACUUUCACUUUCUUAUUCACCUUUCCAAACAGCACACAAUCUCCAGGAGGUCACAGUCAGAGAAACACUCAGCUGGAGGGAAGAUUGAGGAAGAAAUUGGGGGUAGUGCUCCACUACAGGUGUCCAAAUCCCACUGCAAAGACAAGGAAAACUCACGGGGGAGGAAAUGGCAGAAAAAAGGUUCUCACAUUCCUAACAAACCUAAGUCUUCCAAAGUCUAUGACAUCUGUGUAUCAUGAAGGUGUCAUUUGAAUUUGGUUUGUUAUGCUUUUUAAAGUAUCACUUAAUUAGUUCCCAUGAUAAGUCAACCCCUGCAGCUCCUGUCUGCCAGGACACACCUCUUGUGUGCACUGUUAAAAUAGUUAGGAACUAUCAUCCAUAUGGAUGUUACUGAUUAGUAAGGCUAGUGUGGCUUUUAGAAACGUGCUUGAAAUAACUGUUUGGCUGCUAAUUAUCCUUGAUUUUGAUGAAGGAAUGUUUAUGAGCAUUGUUUAGGUUGUCUAUAGGACGCAUGAGUCUUUCCUAUCCCAGCAGCUUUAAAAACUCAUUGUUGCUUCUAAAAAGCUUUGCAUUUAAGAACAGCUAAUUACUGCCAAACUGGCUGAUAUGUGAGAUAUCUGAUGAAAAAUCUGUUGUUUCAGGAACAGUAUUUGUAGCUCAGCUUAUGGCACUAUAUCAUCAGAGUCCCUAACGAAUCAGUCCCAAGAUGUCACUAGGGAGACUGCGCUUUUUUGACAGCAGUGGCCAUUUGUGGCUGUUAAAGAAUCCAAAACAUCUUGGAGGAAAAUGAUCAUGCUGCCUUUUUUUUGUUGUUUUGGUUUCUUGCUGUUGUUGGUAUUUUUGUAGCUAUUCUUUCUAGCACUCCAGCAGUGCAGGGCAAAUGAUGUGAAGCAUUGAACAUCCUUACUCCCAGCAUCGCUGUGCACUACACGUACUCAAACAACAAAGUCUUUCCAGGAAAGGUGCAGUUACAGGAGUAAUCCCUGCAAAUACAGACUGGGUUGUCAAACUGCAUGCACUGCAUUUUAGAUCCAUACAAUUGUCUCUUUCUUCAACCUUCCCCAAAGCAAUGUAUACGCUUAACAUCCCUUGGGUUUCAGACAUUUUAGCUGUAUUAAUAGACACCACCACCCAAACACCAGCUAGAUCUAGUUGGAUGGUAUAAAAGCACAUAAAAACAUCUAUUUUUCUUCUACUUUCAUGCAUAUAGAAGAUAAAUGGUUGAGCAUAAAGUAUUGUACUUCUGAGUUCAUUAGCAUGUAUUCAACACAGGCAGGAAAUCUCAGAAAGUUAUUACUAAAUGAUCAUAGUUCUCUGUUGUCAGUUUGAUCCCUGCAGGAUGUGUCCAUCUCAGAGAAAAUGCCCAUGCAGGUGCACUGGCUGCCUCGGCAGAGAGGUCAGGCAUUGAAUGGGUGAUGGAGUCUUCAGUAUCUACACAUCUCUGAAGCUGAUGCUGCAUUCCUUUUCCAUCCGUAGCUCCAGCGAUUGCAUCACUGCACUCUUCCAUCUGCCUUCAGCUGCUGUGGCUGAAGCAAACUGACACAAAAAUGGAGGAAUGAUGAGCAGCAUGACCCUCUUGGAACUCUCCCUAGCAGGGGGCUCGCUGGGCUGCUGGACGCUGAGCUUGCUGCAAUUUGUGCCUGCAGCAUCCAUCAGAACUGGGACUGCUGACUGCUGUGCUUGGGCUGGCAUGAUUGACAUUGACUCUGGGAUGACCCAAAGCUCAAACGUGCCCUUUUUGAGGACACCAGUCUGGCUUUGCAUUUCAUCUCUUAGGCAGAGGUGGUAGUGAUGAAAAGACACAUCCAGACUGAAAUUUCUAAGCACUAUUACUCUUUAUAUAGCACAAAAGUUCAGAUUUCUAGGCAAAAUAACAAGCCCUGCUCACAUGGCCCUCAGCUCCCUUGAAGCACUUGGGUUGUAAGGGCAAAAUUAGUUCAGCCCAUAUUUCAGAGAAGCAGAGGAUGUCCAUGUAUAUGGGCAGAUUUCUUUUACUCCUUCACAUCCACUUUCAUAAAAAAGAACAUUGUUGAGACCUUUUCUUCUUCAUCCUUCAACCACAUCUGUUGCUUAGACACCUUGGUCUCCACUCCUCCCAGAAUUCAAAUCCAAACACUGGUUUGUCCUAGGGAAGACUUAAAACCUUAAUAUCCUUAUCACACAAGUAUUGGAUCAGAGUGGAUGACCAUCAAGCAUUGACUCUUAGAAUACAGUGCUUUUCCUUGCAACCUUAGUCCAAGCUGUACAUAAAUUCACAGAGAGGGGGAAAAGUCCAGCCUUACAGUCAAAAGGAGGUUUGCAUUCUGAUAUGGAAAUGUUCAGAAGGUUUGCAUUCUGAUACGGAAAUAUUCAGAGGGAUUGUGACUGCACACACAAAGAACACUUUGUACAUAGAUUCAGUUAUAUUCUUUAUUGUUGAAACAGUUCUGGAAUGUUUUGGUCUCCCUGAGCUGCCAAACAGACGAAAACAUUGGUCCGUCCUGUAAUUUUUUUCUUUAAAUUACAUGAGAAAGAUUAGCAAGCAGCAGAAAGGACAAGAAGGCAUUUCAAAACUGUGUUCCAAAAGAAAAAGAGAGUAAAGACAGAGACAUGAAACAUCAAGUACUGUGACUCAAAUGGUACAGGAAAAACUUAAGGAGGAUUGGAAAACAAGUUAAACCCCACUCCUGACUUCAGAAUUCUUCAGGACAUACAGACACCUUCCUUUCUAAUAUCCAACCCUUGGAUAUGCCAGCCUGAGGGAGCCUGCUGAAAGGGCAGGUUUGUAGUGAAGCAGCACAGCACAACGUGGCCUAUUGUCAGCUCGGGGGCUGACACGGUGCUGCCCACAUAUGUCAUAUGACCACAAAACCACCGCUGGAAACACUCACUACAGUGUAUCAAAUCUUCAGUGCCAUUCAUUACACACAGCUAACCAAAAUAGCUCACCUAUUAACCUGUCACCUGGGCAGCUCCUGGUCUCCAAUUUACCUCUUCACCCUUCUCCUGCUUCUGAAUACCACAUGGAACCUGGUCAGGCUACAAGACGAGUGGUAAUCAUGGUGCUAUUAAUAUGACAGUCAGCAGCCUCUUCCCACUUCACACAGCCUCACAUGAAUUCCUUGACAUUAGACUUUAGGACUCAGAUCAAAUCACUGAGUUUAUGAGAGUUUCUCUAGUAUAAUUUUUCCAACUGAAAAGCUGAAGGGGUUCUUAGUACACUUAUUUAAUUCUCCUCAGCCCUAGGACUCUUCUUUGUCCUGUGCCAUCCCACUUCUGAAUAACAAAAUAUUAUCAUGAACUGGACACACCUGGAAACAAAGAAAAAGGGACAUCCUGGUGGAAGAGCAUUGCUGCUGUUAAUACUGAAAUAUUACUAGAUUAAUUAUAUUUAAUCAGUUAGCUCAUGAUCUGAAAUGAAAAAGAAAAGUAUUUUACACACCAGAAAAUUGUUGGAAAAUUUACUAUCAGUUGGAACAGGGAGGGGAUAUUUUUGAAAGUAACUUGAAGCAUAAUACAACAUUAAAUAAGAAAUAAUCAGGGAUGAUCAUACUGACUUGGGACAUGUUGCAAGAUAAAGCCCUUAUUCAGUUGGCUAAUUUCAUGGCAUUUUGAAAAACACAUUACUCAGUUAAUGGUCUGAGGAAAUACUUUGAAACCAAUCAUGAAUAAAUACAAAAUGCUCAGAAUUUUUCAUAUUUUCCACCAGAAAAGAAAAAAAAAACUACUGAUGGGUUCUUAAUAUGUAAUAACAACAUGAUACCGAGACAAAAACUGAAAUACAAGAUGAAAUUAAAAGCUGUCUGUCCCCCAGAGCCAGUGUAGUUUAUCCUAAGUCACUUGGCUGCCACAGCAAUGCAGCCAGUGACUAUCUAGGGUGACACAAGGCAGCCAUUCUAGUGGGAUAAAGAGGACUUUCAUCUCUACAUUGCUCCAGCUGGAAUAAUGCAAUGGUGGCCUGUGACAAACGAGCAGAUGAUCCCAGCCCAGUUUUAGGGUGCCCACCCCAAAAUGCCCAACAACAGGCCCACAGCUCCCUGUACAUGGGAACCUUUGAGUUUGUGUAGUUUUUUCUAAGUCCCAGCUGAGAAACACCAGCAGUGCAGGACAGAAAGCUGUUUCCAGCUACCAGAUCCUCCUACGUGUUGUGUGGAUAACUACAAGACUUUGACCUAAAGUCACCUUGUCCUAGUUUCUAAUUCACUUUUAUGCAGAUGAGAUGGCAGGAUCAGGGCUGUGGUAUCCACACUGGCUCAUACUUUCAGAAAUGAAAGCUGCAAGAUUUAUUCAUCUGAGUGACCACAAUUAGGUUAGCUUGCCGGAUCAGGCUUAUUCUGCAUGAAAAGGAUAGUUCUCUCUAAUUCACAAAAAGGAAAAUGAGAAAUAUUGGUGGAAAAGGGAAUAUGCUAACUCUUGUAAAACAUUAGUGGAAACUGCAUUGCCCAGACUGAAAUGUCAUUUAAAACCACGGGUGUCCCUUUAAGCAAAAUAUCAGCACAGGGAAGGAAGAACUAAAACCAGUAAGAGAGCAGCUGAUAAAACACUGCCAUCACAUUUUCAUACAUUAUACCCCAAAAUGUUUCACAAAAUUGAGUAAGAGAGGAAAACAGAAAGUAUUUUUGUACCACAUUCCUUUGGCAUAUGUAGGAUAAAGCCCAUCAUGUGAGCUGAACUGUAAAUGAGGGCCUUAUGCUUUAUAAAAAUUCUCCUAUUGUCCCAGGAAGGAUGAGAGUCAAAUACAACAGUUUGAGCAAUGCUCUAAGUCCUGUAAAUAAAGUUAGCCUAGCAGAUAGGAAUCAGCAGACUGUUUGGGGAGGGG
Molecule: long non-coding RNA, 7345 nt
Organism: Catharus ustulatus (Swainson's thrush)
Lineage: Eukaryota; Metazoa; Chordata; Aves; Passeriformes; Turdidae
Exons: 2
Source: RefSeq, a predicted model, not a curated record